This 398-nucleotide RNase P RNA is filed under the name Chloroflexota bacterium. RNAcentral describes it as "Chloroflexi bacterium RNase P RNA component class A". It matches the Rfam family "Bacterial RNase P class A". Rfam says of the family: Ribonuclease P (RNase P) is a ubiquitous endoribonuclease, found in archaea, bacteria and eukarya as well as chloroplasts and mitochondria. Its best characterised activity is the generation of mature 5'-ends of tRNAs by cleaving the 5'-leader elements of precursor-tRNAs. The record is from RNAcentral. Lineage: Bacteria; Bacillati; Chloroflexota.
UGAGUAAGACGGGCAAUCGCGGGUUGCCAAAUCCGAGGAAAGUCCGAACUCCAUAGAGCGGGAUGCUGGCUAACGGCCAGUGGGGGCGACCUUAAGGAAAAGUGCAACAGAAACAUACCGCCCGCGUUACCCUCGGUAGCCGGGUAAGGGUGAAAUGGUAAGGUAAGAGCUUACCAGCAAGCAGGUGACUGCUUGGCUGGGCAAACCCCAUCUGGAGCAAGAUCAAGCAGAAGGGUUAGCACAUGCGCAAUGCGUGUGUGUUAGCAGGUUGCUCGCCUGUCAACCUUCGGGUUGAUCGCAGGAGACGUUGGGCAACCAACGUCCUAGAUAGAUGAUUGCCACUCGCGUCAACGAGAGGUGGCGUGAGCACAGAAUUCGGCUUAUGUCUUACUCAACUU